RNAcentral lists this microRNA precursor (73 nucleotides) under Tursiops truncatus (common bottlenose dolphin). Its description in RNAcentral is "miRNA (ENSTTRG00000025016.1)". Lineage: Eukaryota; Metazoa; Chordata; Mammalia; Artiodactyla; Delphinidae. The record is from RNAcentral.
GGUUGGCCAAAACGUUCGUUUGGGUUUUUCCUGAGAUGUUAUGGAAGAACCUGAACGAAAUCUUUGGCCAGCC